Molecule: ribosomal RNA, 301 nt
Filed under: uncultured bacterium
Lineage: Bacteria
Description: partial 16S ribosomal RNA
Rfam family: Bacterial small subunit ribosomal RNA
Source: RNAcentral
CAGUAGCCGCGGGAAUACGGAGGGGGCUAGCGUUGUUCGGAAUUACUGGGCGUAAAGCGCACGUAGGCGGCUUGGUAAGUUAGAGGUGAAAGCCUGGAGCUCAACUCCAGAAUUGCCUUUAAGACUGCCGAGCUAGCAGGUGAGAGAGGUAAGUGGAAUUCCGAGUGUAGAGGUGAAAUUCGUAGAUAUUCGGAAGAACACCAGUGGCGAAGGCGGCUUACUGGCUCAUACUGGACGCUGAGGUGCGAAAGCGUGGGGAGCAAACAGGAUUAGAUACCCGCGUAGUCCCUGUCUCUUAUAA